AUUGAACGCUGGCGGCAUGCCUUACACAUGCAAGUCGAACGGCAGCACGGACUUCGGUCUGGUGGCGAGUGGCGAACGGGUGAGUAAUGUAUCGGAACGUACCUUUCAGUGGGGGAUAACGUAGCGAAAGUUACGCUAAUACCGCAUAUUCUGUGAGCAGGAAAGCAGGGGAUCGAAAGACCUUGCGCUGAUUGAGCGGCCGAUAUCAGAUUAGCUAGUUGGUGGGGUAAAGGCCUACCAAGGCGAGGAUCUGUAGCGGGUCUGAGAGGAUGAUCCGCCACACUGGAACUGAGACACGGUCCAGACUCCUACGGGAGGCAGCAGUGGGGAAUUUUGGACAAUGGGGGCAACCCUGAUCCAGCCAUGCCGCGUGAGUGAAGAAGGCCUUCGGGUUGUAAAGCUCUUUCGGCCGGGAAGAAAUCGCAUAGGCUAAUACCCUGUGUGGAUGACGGUACCGGAAGAAGAAGCACCGGCUAACUACGUG
This 484-nucleotide ribosomal RNA is filed under the name uncultured bacterium. RNAcentral's name for it is "partial 16S ribosomal RNA". It matches the Rfam family "Bacterial small subunit ribosomal RNA", at positions 30 to 507 of the family's 1533-position model. The record is from RNAcentral.